Molecule: unclassified non-coding RNA, 2641 nt
Filed under: Hevea brasiliensis (rubber tree)
Lineage: Eukaryota; Viridiplantae; Streptophyta; Magnoliopsida; Malpighiales; Euphorbiaceae
Source: RNAcentral
GCAUCUUCAUCAACACCGGGGAGCAGCGGAGAGGAUCUUGCAGACAUACAAUGGUGCAUUAAUGCCAAAUACUGAUCAGAAUUUCAGGCUAAAUUGGGCUACUCUUGCAGCUGGUGAGAGACGUCAAGAUGAUGGCCCUGAUUAUACAAUUUUUGUUGGAGAUUUGGCUGCUGAUGUCAAUGAUUACCUGUUGCAAGAAACAUUUAGAGCUGUUUACCAAUCUGUGAAAGGUGCAAAAGUUGUCACUGAUAGGAUCACUGGACGCUCCAAGGGCUAUGGGUUUGUGAGGUUUGGUGAUGAAAAUGAGCAAAGACGUGCCAUGGUUGAAAUGAAUGGACAGUACUGUUCUACUAGGCCCAUGCGGGUUGGGUCAGCUGCUACAAAAAGGCCUGCAGUGCAGCAAUUUCAGAAUGGUAUGUGUUGUUGUUUUCGCACUUAUUGGACAUUGUUGAAUGGAAUGUUGUUUUUUUAUUUUUUUUAUUUUGCUACUGUUCAAUCUGUGUUUGCACAUUAGGGUAGAAUAAAGCAGUAAGUUAGUUGAAUGAUUUGAUUAUUAUUCAUUCCUUUAUUAUUAUUUUUUUUCCUUUUUCCUUCCCUGAGUUGAUUUUGUCCAAACAGUGUUCUUAAUUUGUUGGGCUUUCAGUUUUGCGUCGGAGAUUGAUGGAAUGUGGAAAGUCAUUUCCUUCCAAUACUUACCUUUGUGAACUUGGGCGCAUUUAAUUCAGUUAAAACAUGCAUAAUCUUAUAUAAAACUCAUGUUGUCUUAAAGCAGGACACCAAGAGGCUCUCAUUUUGGGGGGCCUGGAACUGAUUUCAGCUGAAAUGAUUCCACUUAAAUGCGUGGCCUCAUUUUAGGUCAGUUAUGUUGUUUAUCAUAAGUUUACUUAUUUUUCUUGUGGCAUUUGCUACAUUCACAGAAUUGCUUUUCCAGUUCCUUACUUUUGAAAAUUUACCAUUCAUGUUGAGUUUAUUCCUUCUUUUUCCCUCUUUCAAAGAAUAGUUUAAUUCCUUUCCAGAAUUCCUUAAUUUAUGUUUAUUGAUAAGAACCGCCGUUUCAUUUCUUCAUAAUUAGGGUUUUUUUUCACUGUUUGCUUAUGGUCAACACCUUUUCUAAUUUUUUAUUUGAUAUUCUAUUUCAUGUGAAGUUGUGAGCUUUGGAUGUUCAUUCCAAAUGCUGGAAAUCACAUGAUGUAACCAUAAACAUAGAUUUGUUUCCAUGCUACUUGGCAUUCCUUUGACUUCCCUUCUUGCAUUUGGUGUCAUGCUACAGCUCCUCUUCUACUUCCUCCUUACUUACAUUGUGCUUAAUUUCCUCUAGCUAUUUGUUGCUUGAGUGCAUUAUUGACCUACACUCCAAUCUUGUGCUUAUAAUAUUCUAAAAUCUAUGUGCUUGUGUGAGGGUCAUUUUCGUUAGAACAUGUUUAGUAGGACUGGAGGCUGAAUGGAAUGAUUAUUCUAUUCGUAUUGAUUGGAUACAAAAUGAAAGAUUAAUGUAGUGUGGCAACGAUUUUCAUUCCUACAGCUAUUUUAUUUGGUGGAAGUAGAGAAGUGAUUAAGAUGUAGAUAAUGGAGGUGGCAGUCACUAUGCCAAUGAUACUAGUAGCAAACUGAUGGUGGUUUUGGAUGUGCUGGUGAAACUAUGGUGAUAAUAGCUGCCACAAUGAAAUGGUGGAUGGUGACUUAGCCAACUUUAUUGAAUAUGAGGUGUGGAUGGUAGCUGUAAGUGCAGAGGUGGUGAUAGUAGUGAUAGAAGUGACAAUGGGUAAUUAAUUGAUCAAUGUGAUGAAACUAUCAUUUCGACAUGAAUUUCAUGUGCCAUAAGCAUUACAUACCAAAGUCAUUUUGAUGGCAAAAUGUAAAUUGGAAUUACACUAGGUUAGCUAUUUUUCUAAACGGGAAUUGCAAUAUGAUUGUGAUUGUAUGACAUUGGUUUUUCAACAAAUUUGAUGUUGGGCUAGACUGCUAGGGCAGGGAAUGCUUCUAAGGUUUUCUAACAAUUAAAUGUAAUCUUAUGCACCUAGGAACUAGUUCAUUUGGGUUCCUUCUCCCCCUUGCAAACAGAAGACUAGUUGAUUCCGUUCAAUUGAUUUAGUUUAGUCUGGAAAUUGUUAUUGUGAUUUUGAUAUGCUUUUUGAUAUUACUGAAGGGUGCUCUUUUAAUCAAUUUAAUUAUUUAUUUUAUUUUUUUAAUUCCUUUUUUUUAAUUGGUUCUUUUUGAUGCUGAUCAUCUUAAGAUCUCAAAAUGUUUAAAGGAUUUCUAGAACACUUUACAUUGACUUCUAUGAAGAUUUGGUUAUUAUUGAUAGCAUUGAACUCACAUGCUUAUCAGAAGAGGUAUAUUUUCGUGUUGAGGAUGUUUGAUUUGGUCAUACCACUUGGUUUUUACCUGUUUCCUCCAUGCUAAGAGCUCUGAUUGCUUUCUAACAUCCUGUUCUCAAAAGCUACUCUCCAUGUGUACUUUUUUUUUCAUGUUAUAUUUAUUCAUAUUUUAGUUCACAUAUAUUCCUGGUUUGCAGCUUCCUUUCAGAAUACUCAAGGAAACCAGGGAGAGAAUGAUCCAAAUAAUACAACUGUGGGUAGUUUGUUUUACUGAUAGUUGGCAUGGUUAUGUCUUGCUCUAAACUAUUAACUUUUGAAUGCAG